UUAGGAUUUUAAGUUAUAAAACUAGCAGCCUUCAAAGCUUCCAUAAAAAGUACAACCCUUUUAAAUCCUA
RNAcentral lists this transfer RNA (70 nucleotides) under Umalia orientalis. RNAcentral describes it as "tRNA-Trp". The record is from RNAcentral. Lineage: Eukaryota; Metazoa; Arthropoda; Malacostraca; Decapoda; Raninidae.